UACGUAGGGUGCAAGCGUUGUUCGGAAUCAUUGGGCGUAAAGCGCGUGUAGGUGGUUAGGUAAGUUAGGUGUGAAAGCCCUCGGCUCAACCGAGGAAGUGCAUCUAAAACUACCUAGCUAGAGGACGGUAGAGGAAGGUGGAAUUCCUAGUGUAGAGGUGAAAUUCGUAGAUAUUAGGAGGAAUACCGGUGGCGAAGGCGGCCUUCUGGGCCGUUCCUGACACUGAGACGCGAAAGCGUGGGGAGCAAACAGG
Molecule: ribosomal RNA, 253 nt
Filed under: uncultured bacterium
Lineage: Bacteria
Description: partial 16S ribosomal RNA
Rfam family: Bacterial small subunit ribosomal RNA
Source: RNAcentral